Molecule: ribosomal RNA, 467 nt
Filed under: uncultured bacterium
Lineage: Bacteria
Description: partial 16S ribosomal RNA
Rfam family: Bacterial small subunit ribosomal RNA
Source: RNAcentral
AAGAAAGAGGGAGGAGUGCUUAACACAUGCAAGUCGAACGGAAAGGCCCUGCUUUUGUGGGGUGCUCGAGUGGCGAACGGGUGAGUAACACGUGAGUAACCUGCCCUUGACUUUGGGAUAACUUCAGGAAACUGGGGCUAAUACCGGAUAGGAGCUCCUGCUGCAUGGUGGGGGUUGGAAAGUUUCGGCGGUUGGGGAUGGACUCGCGGCUUAUCAGCUUGUUGGUGGGGUAGUGGCUUACCAAGGCUUUGACGGGUAGCCGGCCUGAGAGGGUGACCGGCCACAUUGGGACUGAGAUACGGCCCAGACUCCUACGGGAGGCAGCAGUGGGGAAUAUUGCACAAUGGGCGGAAGCCUGAUGCAGCAACGCCGCGUGCGGGAUGACGGCCUUCGGGUUGUAAACCGCUUUCGCCUGUGACGAAGCGUGAGUGACGGUAAUGGGUAAAGAAGCACCGGCUAACUACGUG